RNAcentral lists this ribosomal RNA (253 nucleotides) under uncultured bacterium. RNAcentral describes it as "partial 16S ribosomal RNA". It matches the Rfam family "Bacterial small subunit ribosomal RNA", at positions 524 to 776 of the family's 1533-position model. The record is from RNAcentral.
UACGUAGGUGGCAAGCAUUGUCCGGAUUUACUGGGCGUAAAGAGCGCGCAGGCGGUCGUUCAAGUCGCGUGUGAAAGCCCCCGGCUCAACUGGGGAGGGUCACGCGAUACUGAUCGACUCGAAGGCAGGAGAGGGUAGUGGAAUUCCCGGUGUAGUGGUGAAAUGCGUAGAUAUCGGGAGGAACACCAGUGGCGAAGGCGGGUUGCUGGGCCGACACUGACGCUGAGGCGCGAAAGCUAGGGGAGCGAACGGG